AGUAUAUGUUGUGAGCGUGCUUCAGAUCUCCGGAGAUAGCACAGUACGCUGUGUCCAGCCCAGAGGUGAAAGCCAUCCAAAGCAGAGUAACUGUGCUUUGCGUCCAAGUUGAUACCUGUGGAGAGGAAAGGAAAGAGAGAGUGAAUAACACGAGGAGGAAUAGAGCGAACCCUGUACUUACAGUAUGCUGUGUCCAGCCCAGAGGUGAGAGCCAUUCAAAGCAAACUAACUGUGCUAUUGUGCCCAAGUUGAUACCUGUGGAGAGAAAAGGAGAGAGAGUGGGUAACACGAGGAGAGAUCGAGGAAACCUGUACUUACGCCGCUGCCUGUGGAGAGAAAAGGAAAGAGAGAGUGAGUAACACAAGGAGAAACAGAGGAAACCUGUACUUACAGUACGCUGUGUCCAGCCCAGAGGUGAGAGCCAUUCAAAGCAAACUAACUGUGCUAUUGUGCCCAAGUUGAUACCUGUGGAGAGAAAAGGAGAGAGAGUGGGUAACACGAGGAGAGAUCGAGGAAACCUGUACUUACGCCGCUGCCUGUGGAGAAAGAGAAAGCGACCGUUGCCUGUGGAGGAAGAGAAAGAGACCGUUGCCUGUGGAGGAAGAGAAAGAGAGUGAGCACCCCGAGAACGAACUGUGUGAACCAGUACUUACCGUGAGCUGUAUUCAGCGAAGAGGAGG
This is a long non-coding RNA of Cyprinus carpio carpio, 680 nucleotides long. The record is from Ensembl. NCBI's taxonomy places the organism in Eukaryota, Metazoa, Chordata, Actinopteri, Cypriniformes, Cyprinidae.